Molecule: transfer RNA, 73 nt
Filed under: Stegodyphus mimosarum
Lineage: Eukaryota; Metazoa; Arthropoda; Arachnida; Araneae; Eresidae
Rfam family: tRNA
About the family: Transfer RNA (tRNA) molecules are approximately 80 nucleotides in length.
Source: Rfam by way of RNAcentral
GCCUUCGUGGUAUAAUGGUCAGCACACUCAAUGUGUAUUCGAGAGGUCCGAGGUUCGAGUCUCGGCGAGGGCG